Molecule: ribosomal RNA, 484 nt
Filed under: uncultured bacterium
Lineage: Bacteria
Description: partial 16S ribosomal RNA
Rfam family: Bacterial small subunit ribosomal RNA
Source: RNAcentral
AUUGAACGCUGGCGGCAGGCCUAACACAUGCAAGUCGAGCGGAUGAAGGGAGCUUGCUCCUGGAUUCAGCGGCGGACGGGUGAGUAAUGCCUAGGAAUCUGCCUGGUAGUGGGGGAUAACGUCCGGAAACGGGCGCUAAUACCGCAUACGUCCUGAGGGAGAAAGUGGGGGAUCUUCGGACCUCACGCUAUCAGAUGAGCCUAGGUCGGAUUAGCUAGUUGGUGGGGUAAAGGCCUACCAAGGCGACGAUCCGGAACUGGUCUGAGAGGAUGAUCAGUCACACUGGAACUGAGACACGGUCCAGACUCCUACGGGAGGCAGCAGUGGGGAAUAUUGGACAAUGGGCGAAAGCCUUAUCCAGCCAUGCCGCGUGUGUGAAGAAGGUCUUCGGAUUGUAAAGCACUUUAAGUUGGGAGGAAGGGCAGUAAGUUAAUACCUUGCUGUUUUGACGUUACCAACAGAAUAAGCACCGGCUAACUUCGUG